UCCCAUACCGAACACGGAAGUUAAGCUUCUCAGCGCCGAUGGUAGUUGGGGCAGGCGCCCCUGUGAGAGUAGGACGUUGCCA
RNAcentral lists this ribosomal RNA (82 nucleotides) under Neobacillus rhizosphaerae. The record is from RNAcentral. Lineage: Bacteria; Bacillati; Bacillota; Bacilli; Caryophanales; Bacillaceae.